Candoia aspera is the source of this 542-nucleotide non-coding RNA. NCBI's taxonomy places the organism in Eukaryota, Metazoa, Chordata, Lepidosauria, Squamata, Candoiidae. The record is from the annotation of a RefSeq genome assembly.
CUAAGUCCGUGAGUUCAAAGGAAAGAUCCACCUGACAUUAUGAAAUACUUCAAUUAUAUUAGCUUUGCUUCUUUGCUCUUCUUGGCUGGUGAAUCGGCCACUGUCACUUUGACCCAGCCUCCUGAAGCAUCUGCAUUACCAGGGACCUCCAUUACUCUGACUUGCCAGGUGUCAGGAUAUAAUAUCAAUGACCACCAUAUGAGCUGGUGUCGUCAAUCUAGGGGGGGAAAGCUGGUCUUUAUCACAUCCUUCAGGACUGGAUUUGACACAUACACUGCCAACGAAUUUAAGGGCCGUGUAACUCCUUCCACUCGUGCUUCAACAGCACAGCUAAGGAUAGAUGGUCUAAAAGUAGGAGAUACUGCCACCUACUAUUGUGCAAGCGACACAGUGACCAAAUUUGGGACAGUUGUCGCACAAUAUCUUGAAGGAGACCCAACGUAUCUUGCUCAAGACCUCUUGUUCAUGGGUUUUCCCCUCCUCAUUCCAUGGCUUAGUUUCACUUCCUUGUUUGAGUGAGGCACAUGCUCUGUAAAUUUGCU